This 85-nucleotide transfer RNA is filed under the name Felis catus (domestic cat). It matches the Rfam family "tRNA". From Rfam's summary of the family: Transfer RNA (tRNA) molecules are approximately 80 nucleotides in length. Their secondary structure includes four short double-helical elements and three loops (D, anti-codon, and T loops). Further hydrogen bonds mediate the characteristic L-shaped molecular structure. tRNAs have two regions of fundamental functional importance: the anti-codon, which is responsible for specific mRNA codon recognition, and the 3' end, to which the tRNAs corresponding amino acid is attached (by aminoacyl-tRNA synthetases). tRNAs cope with the degeneracy of the genetic code in two manners: having more than one tRNA (with a specific anti-codon) for a particular amino acid; and 'wobble' base-pairing, i.e. permitting non-standard base-pairing at the 3rd anti-codon position. Lineage: Eukaryota; Metazoa; Chordata; Mammalia; Carnivora; Felidae. The record is from Rfam by way of RNAcentral.
GCCUGGGUGGCUCAGUUGGUUAAGCAUCUGACUUCAGCUCAGGUCAUGAUUUCACGGCUUGUGAGUUUGAGCCCCACUUUGGGCU